AUGUCAAUAUGCUUAUACUGAAAACAAAAGUAUUAGCCGAUUGUUUUCUUUUUUUUCUCUUUUUUUUGGGACCUAAUUUUUGGUUAUAAGCAGCAGUUUGGGAACUAGUUCAUACUGUUGAACAACUCAUAACAGUUACUCUUACUCCGCCCACACGUGAUACAUUCAACUCACUGCAGUAAAUAUCCAACGCACCCUUCGCAAAAGGCGGUCUCUUUAGACUGUUUAUGUCUGCCAUGUUGCUGCUACACUGUUUAUUUGCUAACAUUAACUUACUUCUGCUGCUCAGGUAGCAUUUCACAAACUUGCCUGUUAACAACAAGUGCGUUUAUUCCGUGCUGUUGCUAGAAUUUCCGGCCAUUUGUCAUAUUCGGACCUUCAGCACCUAUUCCCAAACGACACCACUGGGAUGCCAGGGAUAACUACUUCACUCCACCAAGCUAGUACUGUGUGUGCAUACAGACAGACAAAGUGGCAUUUCCUGACUGUUCCCAUCCCCGUCUGAGUUAUCUGACACCCAAAAAUACGGCUACAGGGAAGCAGGGAGACGAGGCACCACAGCCUUAUCCCAACAGGUUGGAGGUUAAAGGGACAUUACAAAAGUCUGCCAUCACCAGAAGCCUUUUUCUCCAUCACCUCACACACACAUCAAGCAUCAGUGCCAUGGAGACUCAGAGAAAGAAAGAGAGAGACGGUGGGAGAGAGAGAUUUUCAGAAACAGGAAAGGAGACGAGAGAGGGAGACGGUAGGGGAGAGAGAGAGAGCACAUCAGGCUAAGAGAUCUGCAGUGGCUGUAUAUUUCCCAAUGCCUAGUUAAGGCUGCAAGGCAGGGGUCAGGAAACUUAAUUAUAGCGUAAGUGGAUAGAAACUGCAGAAUGAUAAAGAGAAACAUGCAGACCGAUUGGAAUGGCAAGGACAGGUUUAAUACUAUUUUAUCCUGUCUGCUUCCCUCCCACAAGCCAGACCUGCAAUCACACAAGGAAACGGCCCAUAUACCCCGCCUGACAAUAACACUAAUGCAUAUCAAAAUUACAUACUCGACAACUGCAAGGCAUUUUGCAUGGCCACUAUUACUUUCCAAUUUUGUGAGUUCAAGAAAAUACAUAUCCCAUGUAAUGGUGAUAUCAGAGGAAUUUCCAUGCUGAGCGUGUCAGAGCUUCAGAUAAGCGUUCACCUGUGGUCGAACAAGAGUUAUUAAACCAUAUCUACCCUGAUGGUCCAGCUGAAUAAAUAAUCUGUUUUUAAUUUCUAGGUCUGCCAUUAAUUCUCCAUCCUCUUCUCUUUAUUUAUUUUCCUUAAUAUCUCAAAGUCCAGAUUUUUUAGGAAGCCACAUGUGUGUCUUCCACGUGUCUUGAUUUGGAUUUCAAAUCAGUGGGCCUCAAUGGGCGGCCCAAUACACAUCGUCCACUGUGUGAGCUCUGCAAUCUAUUUGCACUGUAUACGAUUUGCAUAUCUGCAGCUCAUGAAGCAAGGCUUUAAUUUCCUCCUGCUGGAGAUAAACAUCACCUUGUUGGAGCAGAUGGGUGGAGGCAGGAUGGGGUCAAUGAAGAAGAAGCAGGACAAUGGCAUUGGUUCAGGCACUGAAUGACCAGAAGUAAUAAAAUUGCACAAUUUCCAUACGGUGGCCAAUUUUUUGGAGGAUAAAUUAGGAUCAAAUGUGAUAUAAGGAGAUGCUGCAGAAUUCUGUGAGGGGCUGAAAGGUUGGAUGGUAAUGUGGAAAUUAUAUUCAUUUUGUCACAUGUUUAUGCUCAUAUGUAUGCUACAGAGGACCACAUUUGUGUUACGGACUUGAAAAUGUGAUAAAAUCACUUCUUUUGGUAGAUUUUUUGACUAAGGCUCCUAACCUGUCUAUUAUCUUUAAUGUUACGUGACUAUAUUUCAAGCUAGUUCCUUUUAUGCCAUCAUCUUCAUAUAUAUUUUCUUGGUCAAUGUCUAUAUUGAAAAUAAUUAAUACUCUCCAUAGAGCUAGAUUCUAUUUCUUGCUACUGUUGGCAUUUUGUACUGAUCACACUAGACGAGAGGUGCCAUAUUCUAUGAAUUAGAGUGUCAACUAAGCACCUUUCUUAUGACAAUAUUAGUCACAAUGGAAAUGAUUAAUUAGCUUCAGAUAGAUGGAAUUUAAUCAGUGUCUGGGCUGGAAGGAAGUAAAUUGGACGUAAGGUUAGACAAAAUGAACUUUUCUUAAUUUUCACUUUAACUUGAGCUCACACAUUGUUGUACAGCAUUUGUAUUAGAGGGGGGAGGUGGGGAUAGCAAGAAUAGUUCCUGAAUAAUGAGCAGCUCAUGCGGGAGUUAUGUAAACCUCUUGUUAUUUGGAUGUUGGAACCUUGUAAUUAAAGUACUUCUACAGGGGAUGGUUCCGCUUUCUGCCUCGAGGAGAGCCGGGCCAGGCUGAAGGUUACAGAGGGUUAGAGGGGGUGGAUGAGGAUGAGUGGAGAGAAUGCUCUCGUCUUUUAUUAGCUCGCAUUAUCUUAUAUUUAUUUAUUUAUCAAAGACAUCUAUGCAAAUCAGGAUCCCAAGUCAUGGAUCCUACUAAUGACACAGACAAGAGUAAUUCAUUAAAAGCAGAUGCACAUAUACACACAAGCACACACAUUAUACAUGUGCAAACCCCUCAUGUAACAAGUUCAUCUGAUUUUCAAAGACGCCGCACAGUCGGAUAAGGCGAGAAGAGAGAGGAAAAGGCAAGAAAUCUGCAUCACAGUGUUAAUUUAAUCAGACUUCAGUAAUACCUCUUCUUCUCCUC
Siniperca chuatsi (mandarin fish) is the source of this 2746-nucleotide long non-coding RNA. RefSeq lists it as uncharacterized. The transcript has 5 exons. The record is from RefSeq and is a predicted model, not a curated record. Lineage: Eukaryota; Metazoa; Chordata; Actinopteri; Centrarchiformes; Sinipercidae.